Molecule: ribosomal RNA, 745 nt
Filed under: fungal sp.
Lineage: Eukaryota; Fungi
Description: eukaryotic LSU rRNA
Rfam family: Eukaryotic large subunit ribosomal RNA (bases 504-745)
Source: RNAcentral
UUACUGAGUGAGGGCCCCUCGGGGUCCAACCUCCCACCCGUGUUUAACGAACCUUGUUGCUUCGGCGGGCCCGCCUCACGGCCGCCGGGGGGCAUCCGCCCCCGGGCCCGCGCCCGCCGAAGCCACCUGUGAACGCUGUCUGAAGUAUGCAGUCUGAGACAAUUAUUAAAUUAAUUAAAACUUUCAACAACGGAUCUCUUGGUUCCGGCAUCGAUGAAGAACGCAGCGAAAUGCGAUAACUAAUGUGAAUUGCAGAAUUCAGUGAAUCAUCGAGUCUUUGAACGCACAUUGCGCCCUCUGGUAUUCCGGAGGGCAUGCCUGUCCGAGCGUCAUUGCUGCCCUCCAGCCCGGCUGGUGUGUUGGGCCCCGCCCCCCUUCCCGGGGGGGCGGGCCCGAAAGGCAGCGGCGGCACCGCGUCCGGUCCUCGAGCGUAUGGGGCUUUGUCACCCGCUCUUGUAGGCCCGGCCGGCGUCAGCCGACCCCCUCAAUCUAUUUUUUCAGGUUGACCUCGGAUCAGGUAGGGAUACCCGCUGAACUUAAGCAUAUCAAUAAGCGGAGGAAAAGAAACCAACCGGGAUUGCCCUAGUAACGGCGAGUGAAGCGGCAAGAGCUCAAAUUUGAAAGCUGGCCCCCUCGGGGUCCGCAUUGUAAUUUGCAGAGGAUGCUUCGGGAGCGGUCCCCAUCUAAGUGCCCUGGAACGGGCCGUCAUAGAGGGUGAGAAUCCCGUAUGGGAUGGGGUGCCCGC